GUUUGAUCCUGGCUCAGGAUGAACGCUGGCGGCGUGCCUAAUACAUGCAAGUCGAGCGAAUGGAUUAAGAGCUUGCUCUUAUGAAGUUAGCGGCGGACGGGUGAGUAACACGUGGGUAACCUGCCCAUAAGACUGGGAUAACUCCGGGAAACCGGGGCUAAUACCGGAUAAUAUUUUGAACUGCAUGGUUCGAAAUUGAAAGGCGGCUUCGGCUGUCACUUAUGGAUGGACCCGCGUCGCAUUAGCUAGUUGGUGAGGUAACGGCUCACCAAGGCAACGAUGCGUAGCCGACCUGAGAGGGUGAUCGGCCACACUGGGACUGAGACACGGCCCAGACUCCUACGGGAGGCAGCAGUAGGGAAUCUUCCGCAAUGGACGAAAGUCUGACGGAGCAACGCCGCGUGAGUGAUGAAGGCUUUCGGGUCGUAAAACUCUGUUGUUAGGGA
Molecule: ribosomal RNA, 446 nt
Filed under: Bacillus thuringiensis serovar kurstaki str. HD-1
Lineage: Bacteria; Bacillati; Bacillota; Bacilli; Caryophanales; Bacillaceae
Description: SSU rRNA
Rfam family: Bacterial small subunit ribosomal RNA
Source: RNAcentral